RNAcentral lists this transfer RNA (71 nucleotides) under Toxocara canis (dog roundworm). It matches the Rfam family "tRNA". Rfam says of the family: Transfer RNA (tRNA) molecules are approximately 80 nucleotides in length. Lineage: Eukaryota; Metazoa; Nematoda; Chromadorea; Rhabditida; Toxocaridae. The record is from Rfam by way of RNAcentral.
GAUGUAGUAGCUCAGCGGAUAGAGCCUUCGCCUGUUAUGCAAAAUCCCGGCUUCGACUCCCGGCUGCUUCG